UGCAACACACAUAAGCAGCAAAGGACAAGUAUCUAGACUACCUGAAGAAUUUCCACAAAUUGGCCAGGCGUGUGCCUAUAAUCCCAGCUACUCAGGAGGCUGAGGCAGGAGAAUUGCUUGAACCUGGGAGGCAGAGGUUCCAGUGAGCUGAGAUCACGCCACUGCACUCCAGCCUGGGCAACAGAGCAAGACUCUGUCUCAAAAAAACAAACGACAACAACAAAAAAAGAAUUCCCACAUUUGGUAACAGCAAAACAAUAUGAUAGAAAAAAGCAUUAAAAAAAUUUUUUGAACAGUUACUGCCAGGAAGAUGGAACCCUAAUUAAAUAAUUACAUAUCAAGAAACAAUUACAUAUUAAAAAUAUAAUUAGGUUGAAUAUUAUAAGGAAAUGCAAAUUAAAGCCCCAUUAUGAGGAAAUGCAAAUUAAAGCCACAGUGACAUCCUCUUAUACACUACCAGCUGGCAAAACACUCCUACAAUACCAAAUGAGUAUGCAGUGCCACAAGAACUCUUUUACUGCUGGAAAGAUGACAAAUUGGUGCUAGCUUGUGGAAACUUUUCCCAGUAAAAUGACAUGAACAAAAUCUACAACCCAGGUAAAUGUUUAUGUGCAUCAGGAGACAUAUAUAAGAAUGUUCACGACAAUACCGACUAUUCAAAAAUUGAGAAACU
RNAcentral lists this long non-coding RNA (673 nucleotides) under Homo sapiens (human). Its description in RNAcentral is "non-protein coding lnc-TNFSF10-2:1". Lineage: Eukaryota; Metazoa; Chordata; Mammalia; Primates; Hominidae. The record is from RNAcentral.